RNAcentral lists this ribosomal RNA (484 nucleotides) under uncultured bacterium. Its description in RNAcentral is "partial 16S ribosomal RNA". It matches the Rfam family "Bacterial small subunit ribosomal RNA", at positions 30 to 507 of the family's 1533-position model. The record is from RNAcentral.
AUUGAACGCUGGCGGCAGGCCUAACACAUGCAAGUCGAGCGGAUGACGGGAGCUUGCUCCUGGAUUCAGCGGCGGACGGGUGAGUAAUGCCUAGGAAUCUGCCUGGUAGUGGGGGAUAACGUCCGGAAACGGGCGCUAAUACUGCAUACGUCCUGAGGGAGAAAGUGGGGGAUCUUCGGACCUCACGCUAUCAGAUGAGCCUAGGUGGGAUUAGCUAGUUGGUGGGGUAAAGGCCUACCAAGGCGACGAUCCGUAACUGGUCUGAGAGGAUGAUCAGUCACACUGGAACUGAGACGCGGUCCAGGCUCCUACGGGAGGCAGCAGUGGGGAAUAUUGGACAAUGGGCGAAAACCUGAUCCAGCCAGGCCGCGUGUGUGAAGAAGGUCUUCGGAUUGUAAAGCACUUUAAGUUGGGGGAAAGGGCAUUAAGUUAAGACCUUGCUGUUUUGACGUUACCAACAGAAUAAGCACCGGCUAACUUCGUG